This 73-nucleotide transfer RNA is filed under the name Boldia erythrosiphon. Its description in RNAcentral is "tRNA-Thr". It matches the Rfam family "tRNA". From Rfam's summary of the family: Transfer RNA (tRNA) molecules are approximately 80 nucleotides in length. Their secondary structure includes four short double-helical elements and three loops (D, anti-codon, and T loops). Further hydrogen bonds mediate the characteristic L-shaped molecular structure. tRNAs have two regions of fundamental functional importance: the anti-codon, which is responsible for specific mRNA codon recognition, and the 3' end, to which the tRNAs corresponding amino acid is attached (by aminoacyl-tRNA synthetases). tRNAs cope with the degeneracy of the genetic code in two manners: having more than one tRNA (with a specific anti-codon) for a particular amino acid; and 'wobble' base-pairing, i.e. permitting non-standard base-pairing at the 3rd anti-codon position. Lineage: Eukaryota; Rhodophyta; Compsopogonophyceae; Compsopogonales; Boldiaceae. The record is from RNAcentral.
GGGGAUAUAGCUCAGUUCGUAGAGUGCUGCCUUCGUAAGGCAGAUGUCAGCGGUUUCAGUCCGCUUAUCUCCA